RNAcentral lists this long non-coding RNA (2584 nucleotides) under Phoenix dactylifera (date palm). Its description in RNAcentral is "long non-coding RNA (PDAC_LNC001403)". Lineage: Eukaryota; Viridiplantae; Streptophyta; Magnoliopsida; Arecales; Arecaceae. The record is from RNAcentral.
AAAAAAGGAAGAAGAGAAGUCGGUGAAGGACAAACAGAGAACAAACACUAGUGGAAAAGGGAAUCACACAGUGAAUUAUCACUUAGAGAAGUGAAUUAACAUCCCUUCUGAGAAUAUUCAAACAAAACAAUUAUCACUUGGAGUUGGUUCUAAGCUCCAGGUGGGGGAUGCCAAGAAAUUGGAUGAUUUGGUUUCGGAGCAGCAGGGCCUGUACCAACUCUAUCUCCCAGCUUCCUCGCCUUAAUCUCUGCAAAACAAACAGACGCGGGCUUAUGUGCAGCCACUUUCAAUCUGAUCAAAAUAAAAAGGAAUCAAACAUGCUAUGCAAACUUAAGAACAUAUGGAAGGCUUGCUAAUGAGAAUAUAAGGAUUUGCGACUAUGCGAGGAACUUCGGGGUUCUCUCUUUUUCAAUAUAGAAAAACCUGGAGCUUUGAACCUACCACCAUACACCAAUCCAAAUUGUAUUGCAUAAAAUGCAGCAAUUAACACAAGAAGAAGCAGCGAACGGAGGAAGGACGGACUUGACAUCUUGAUCUAUGUUUCACUUCCUUCAAAACAAACUGGAUUUAACAAUCCUUUUAUAGAUAAAGUAGCCUUCUGAAAUACAUAAAAUAUUUGAUAUUUGACUUCUGCUGCUUGACCGCCGAACACGGAUCCAGCUUUCCCUUGAACGGGAAGUCACUAUACUUUGAGAAAUGGUGGAAGCAUGCUACUUUUUCCAUCAACUUUAAAAUACAUAAUGAAAUGAAUGUCACCACUCAGAAUUUUUAAAAGGAAAACUCAGGGCCCAUUCUUUGUUUUACUGUUAUUUUAACAUGUAGACCCUAUGGAAACUAUCUGUUUUGUUAGUCGUUUAACUUCUAAUCUGCAGCCAAUUCACAGGUACUUGAGAUCCAUCUCUGAAGGGGAAAUUGAGGUCCUUCCGAACCUCAGUUGAAACAUUAGGAGUAACCAAUGAAACCCACAAAUUCCUAUUCCUUUAACGACAUAGAAUGGAGAAGUAACUUCUGCAAUUGCAGUAUGGGAUAUCUGGAGACAGCAGAAACAUGUUGCACCCGCAUUUUCUCUAGUUUAAUAUUUACAAUUAAAAGGAACACAUAAAGAAAGACUAAAUUGUUUGAUGGCCCUAAACUACUCUUCGCAUCAAUGUUUGAUACAGUCUUGCAACUACGUAUGGCAGUCCGCACCAUCACCUUUCCUUGUUAGCAUGGAAAAUAGUUUAGUCAAGAGUUCAUCAUAUACAAGACCCUCCCAUGCCGCGUACAUUGGGUGCCAGACGAAUUCUUUUAGAGGGUGACUCGACCACAGUGGUGAACUGGAUUCGCUGCCGACAGGCCAGGUCGAACUUACACCCAUUACUCCGAGACUUCCGAAGCAUGGGGGGAGUUAGAUUUACUUCGGAUUUUACAUGUGUUUCGGAAGGCAAACAGGGCUGCGGACUGGAUCGCCUCCUAUGCAGCCCACCAUUCUGGUUUUGUAUUUUGGGAUCCCUCCGAUCAUGUGCCGCAGGCAUUACAUCGUAUUUUGCUUUGCGAUAGUUCUAGGCUCUCUCAUCGUCGUAUGUAGUGAGAAGCCGGUUUACCACCAAAAAAAAAAAAGAGUUCAUCCAGCUUUCUUCCCAAUUUGAAAGAUGCAAAGGUAGCUUUACAACUUUCUUUUUCACGUACAAGAUGGGUGUGGUAAACAUAGAUCGCAAUUGGUUUCUUUGUCGAUUUAAAGCUUAAUCAACAAAACGAUAUGAGAACAAACAAGAUCAAACACCUCCUACGGUUUGAACCUAGACCCACCUCCUAAUAUAGUGCUAUUGCUAAGCUGUAGUUGUAUGUGCCUAUAGGUUUUGACGGGUAUAAUGUCCUCCUUUUCUAGAUUGCCAUGCCUCAUGCCAUUGGAUGUUCAGCCCCAUUACUGGUUCAGCCCAUAAUGACUUUAGCUACCGGUUCAGGUCAAGACUUCCUGUACUAAAAAAUUGAAAUGUGAAUAGGGUGUUCAAAGUCUUUGUUUGAAGAAAAAAAAGGGUGUUCAAAGUCAAGCCCCGGUUAGGAGCCUUAAGAGUCAUUAGUGAUUUAAGAUUAGCAGUUGCAAAGAAAUUGGGCAACCUAAUCCAUCAUAAAACUUAUUGAAUUACUAUCAAUGACCACCAUGAACCGAAAAUGAAAUGAAGGAGAUAUUGUUUAUUGAAGGAGAUAUUGUUUAGGAUUAUCAUUUUGUCCAUACAGAUGACAAUUUGUCCAAAUUAGAACUUCAUUAUCUUUUCUCAUUUGCUUAGAAACUCUAAGGUCUCUAGGGGUCUUAUGUCAUUGGGAAGACUCCAAAAUAAAUAUCCUUCACUCUUGACUCAUGCUUACAGAAGGGUUUUUCUGUGUGCUCACGUGGUUGCUAUUAUGAGCUUAAAUCCGCUAGGUCGAUUCUUCAUCGAUCCUAUAGUAGAUUAUGCAGAAAGUAAAGGACGUUAUUGGUCGAUUUGCAGGAGCGAAUGGAUUACCCUUCACAAGCCAUGACAGUGCAAAUGGCAAGUCUUUGGGUAGACUGAAUUCAUUACUAUUUACCAUAUUCCCUUCAUCUGUUUCUUUAAGCACAAUAUAG